This 468-nucleotide ribosomal RNA is filed under the name uncultured bacterium. Its description in RNAcentral is "partial 16S ribosomal RNA". It matches the Rfam family "Bacterial small subunit ribosomal RNA", at positions 28 to 507 of the family's 1533-position model. The record is from RNAcentral.
GACGAACGCUGGCGGCGUGCUUAACACAUGCAAGUCGAACGGAAAGGCCCUGCUUUUGUGGGGUGCUCGAGUGGCGAACGGGUGAGUAACACGUGAGUAACCUGCCCUUGACUUUGGGAUAACUUCAGGAAACUGGGGCUAAUACCGGAUAGGAGCUCCUGCUGCAUGGUGGGGGUUGGAAAGUUUCGGCGGUUGGGGAUGGACUCGCGGCUUAUCAGCUUGUUGGUGGGGUAGUGGCUUACCAAGGCUUUGACGGGUAGCCGGCCUGGGAGGGUGACCGGCCACAUUGGGACUGGGAUACGGCCCAGACUCCUACGGGAGGCAGCAGUGGGGAAUAUUGCACAAUGGGCGGAAGCCUGAUGCAGCAACGCCGCGUGCGGGAUGACGGCCUUCGGGUUGUAAACCGCUUUCGCCUGUGACGAAGCGUGAGUGACGGUAAUGGGUAAAGAAGCACCGGCUAACUACGUG